AAGGGAGACCUAAUUCAGGUAGGAGACAAAAAAAAGUAGUCCCUACCAAGAAUCAAUCCCAAAAGGUCGGAGCGAGGCAAAAUUGGCUUUCAAACUAGGUUCUGGGUUCACAUAAGACCUGAAUCAGGAACAAGGGCUAUUAGCUCAGGUGGUUAGAGCGCACCCCUGAUAAGGGUGAGGUCCCUGGUUCGAGUCCAGGAUGGCCCACCUGCACAGGUGGCAAAAACAAAGAAAAGAAGCUCCGAAUCAGCACCUUAUCUUACUCAUAUAGUAAGAGAGAAUGCUGGCUCUGAGUUCAGAGUCCAGAGGAACCUUGAAAACUGCAUAGAGCUAGGUGAAAAAGCCAAAAAAGAAGACCGCAAGGUCAAGCUAAUAAGGGCUAACGGUGGAUACCUAGGCAC
RNAcentral lists this transfer RNA (401 nucleotides) under uncultured Microcystis sp. Its description in RNAcentral is "bacterial LSU rRNA". The stretch from base 134 to 207 matches the Rfam family "tRNA". Lineage: Bacteria; Bacillati; Cyanobacteriota; Cyanophyceae; Chroococcales; Microcystaceae. The record is from RNAcentral.